CUUGGUCAUUUAGAGGAAGUAAAAGUCGUAACAAGGUUUCCGUAGGUGAACCUGCGGAAGGAUCAUUAAAAGCAUAUUGACAUGUUAUCAUGUUAUAUAUAUGAACCCCAUUCCGAGUACAUUACCUGUUGCUUCCGUGAGGCAGGAUUCUAAUCCCCCCGAAGAUGAUGCCUUCCGGCAUCCGCUGAUGGGGAGUCUUCACGGGAGGUAUGCAUUAAACUCUUGUACUGUCAUGUUAUAUCUGUCUGAAUCUGAUUAAUACAAAUGUUAAAACUUUCAACAACGGAUCUCUUGGUUCUCGCAUCGAUGAAGAACGCAGCGAAAUGCGAUAAGUAGUGUGAAUUGCAGAAUUCAGUGAAUCAUCGAAUCUUUGAACGCACAUUGCGCCUCCUGGCAUUCUGGGAGGCAUGCCUGUUCGAGCGUCAUUAAAAACCCCCUCAAGCACCUUUGCUUGGUCGUGGAGGAGGAGCAGGUCUUGGUGCCAUCUCCCCUCCGAAAUUGAAAGGCGGAAAUCCCCAUGUGCCCCGGCGUAGUAUGUAUCUUUCGCUUGGAAUAUGAGGUGCUCCAGCCCAAAAACCCCCAAUUUAUCCAGGUUGACCUCGGAUCAGGUAGGGAUACCCGCUGAACUUAAGCAUAUCAAUAAGCGGAGGAAAAGAAACCAACAGGGAUUGCCUUAGUAACUGCGAGUGAAGCGGCAAAAGCUCAAAUUUGAAAUCUGGCGUCUUUGACGUCCGAGUUGUAAUUUGGAGGGGCAUCUUCGGAGUUGGCACCGUCCUAAGUUCCUUGGAAGAGGACGUCAUAGAGGGUGAGAAUCCCGUGCCUGGGUGGCUGUCCAUCUCCAUGUGAAGUGUCUCCGACGAGUCGAGUUGUUUGGGAAU
Molecule: small RNA, 878 nt
Filed under: uncultured Pseudaleuria
Lineage: Eukaryota; Fungi; Ascomycota; Pezizomycetes; Pezizales; Pyronemataceae
Description: eukaryotic LSU rRNA
Rfam family: Eukaryotic large subunit ribosomal RNA (bases 595-878)
Source: RNAcentral